RNAcentral lists this ribosomal RNA (419 nucleotides) under uncultured bacterium. Its description in RNAcentral is "bacterial SSU rRNA". It matches the Rfam family "Bacterial small subunit ribosomal RNA", at positions 355 to 772 of the family's 1533-position model. The record is from RNAcentral.
UAGGGAAUAUUGGUCAAUGGAUGCAAGUCUGAACCAGCCAUGCCGCGUGCAGGAAGAAGGCCCUAUGGGUUGUAAACUGCUUUUGCCAGGGGAUAAAAAGGCUCUGCGGAGCGAAUUGAAGGUACCUGGUGAAUAAGCCACGGCCAACUACGUGCCAGCAGCCGCGGUAAUACGUAGGGUCCGAGCGUUGUCCGGAAUUAUUGGGCGUAAAGGGCUCGUAGGCGGUCUGUCGCGUCGGGAGUGAAAACCAGGUGCUUAACACCUGGCCUGCUUUCGAUACGGGCAGACUAGAGGUACUCAGGGGAGAAUGGAAUUCCUGGUGUAGCGGUGAAAUGCGCAGAUAUCAGGAGGAACACCGGUGGCGAAGGCGGUUCUCUGGGAGUAUCCUGACGCUGAGGAGCGAAAGUGUGGGGAGCGAA